This is a long non-coding RNA of Camelus dromedarius (Arabian camel), 575 nucleotides long. RefSeq lists it as uncharacterized. NCBI's taxonomy places the organism in Eukaryota, Metazoa, Chordata, Mammalia, Artiodactyla, Camelidae. The transcript has 3 exons. The record is from RefSeq and is a predicted model, not a curated record.
CCCCUCGGGGAGACCCAUCAGCUGGAGGUGGCCACGCAGCUGGGGCAGAAAAACAACUUCGUGGACACCCCCUAAUAUCCCCAUCCCCGCCACACCCCUGAAUAGGAGGCCAGCUGUUUCAAGGAUGGUACCUGGGGUAGACCUCCUCUCUGAGCCUCCAAUCUUGGAUAAGAGGGCACAUCCUACUCAGCAAUUUAAAACUGAGAAGAUAUAUAUGAAUCAACAUGGAGAGAGCCCCAAGACAUGCUUACAGAAUAGUAUAGCAAGGGCUCUCUCUGGUGGCUGAACCGUGCAUGGGGCAGGCCAGAAAUCCUGGAGCAUUAAAACCUACCCCACCCCGGGAGCAGCCCUCAUCCAAUGUCUGACAGGAGUUGGUGUAUAAAUGCCCCAGCUCCCUCAUGUCUUACAUGGGAUAACUCUGAGGUGGGAAUAGCACACUGUCCAGAGUUCCUUCCCCACUGGAACUGAGCUCCAGAAGCCCACAAUUGGGGCUUGUUUGAUAAUGUCUUAAUUGGCUUCCUUCCCUUCCCUGUCUCAGUCAUCCACUCCCCUACCAGUGUUUUCUGCAUCUUCCA